ACGCGUAGCUCUCAGUGGGAACCAAUCGCUUUCGUCGACGGUUUUGCCUUCAUGGGGGCAUUUUGGAGGGGCGCGCGAGGGAAGCGGGCGUUGGAAGUUGCUCCGGCGGCUGACUGAGUAGUAGGCUUGACAGGAAGGCGGGAGAGCGCGUGGAAAAAAGAGCCAUGAAGUUUGUUAUCCCAAGAAUUUGGCAGGAACCAACUGACCACUCGAGCAACUGCUACUUCGGCGUGGUAGACCCUUCCAAACAUUGAACUGGGAAGAGCGCCCCUCCUAUCAUGUAUCCAGACAUUUCUUCAUUCAUUGCCCCAGUACCACACUGCCCUGAGCUUCCCAUUCCCACCCCUCCAGAAAUGGAUCAGCCAUGUUCAGGAGUGAGAAGCAAGUCAAACCAGCAAGGAAGGUAUUGCAGAUACAGAUUACAAUUCCACAGAUGUGGCUGAGGAGAAAAAGCCAUACUUCUCCAAUCAGAAAGACCUCAGCAAUCUGAUCAGAGACCUUUAUCUUACAAAGUCCAAAGCUGAGCUUCUGACAUCCAAGCUUAAGGAGUGGAACUUAAGGAUGCUUAAGCUUAAGGAUGGAAGUGUGCAAGUCACAGGUCAGAGAAAGCAUAUAAUUUAAUAAUGGAUCACACAAGGAUCAUGUGUAUAUGGUUCGUUCCUUGUUAUCACAUCCAUAGCAUGACAUCAAUCAUCUAAGAUUUUUACACUGCUCCUCUUAAGAUAAAAUCUAAUACAGCAAUAGGUAAUCUGAUGCCUGCCCUCCAGGUGCUUAGAGUUCAGUUUACCUUUCCUCCAACUAGUCGUGUUCUCUUGAUUAAUGACACACCAAUACAUCACAAAAAUGUAAAUUGAACUGUGAUUCCACAUGUUCAUAUGCACCACCAAUCCCUUUCCUUUUUUAUUUGACAAAGACCAAAAUUAAUGCAAGAUAAAUUAAUAAUUUGGAUAAUGAAGUACAGCAUGAGCCAUGAUCAAAAAUAAAAGGAUUAUUUUUCAAAAAAGUUUAAAAUAUCUCUAAAAUAUACAGCUACUUUCCACAUUACUGGAACUAUUAAAUUAUCAAAUACUGGAAUGUUUAUAUUUUAAUUCAAUGGAGACUAACAUUUUAAGUCACUGAAGUGUAAUAAGUAGCCAUAAAUGAAUAACUAUAAUACAAAUAUCAAUUAUUGUAACUUAAUCUUAUGACAGUUGUUUUCAAAUUCUCUCCUGAAACUCUAGAAUCUAGAUAAAACAAAACUACUCUUGACAAAUAGCAGCAAAUUCUGUGAUUGAACAGAAUUUGACCACUCCCUCAAAUUCAUUACUGAAUUAUCUCAAAAGGGUAGUGGAAUAUAAGAUUGGCAGCUGCUUUGCUAUGAUUGGUUAUUAAGUGUUUAUGCAAAUUUGAAUAAAAGGAGCAGUUAAG
Notechis scutatus (mainland tiger snake) is the source of this 1407-nucleotide non-coding RNA. The record is from RefSeq and is a predicted model, not a curated record. Lineage: Eukaryota; Metazoa; Chordata; Lepidosauria; Squamata; Elapidae.